GACUUAUUAUGGAACACAGAAAAACCAGAAGUUUCAGGGGACAGAUGAAGGACUCCUCUAAACUGCUCUGGCCAGAGAAGACCAUCUCUAAUGACCACCAAGGAAAAGAAAAGAUGAGGAAACUGAUUGGCCCAGGUCAUAUAGCUAUGAAUAUUUGAGAAUUUUGUUCACCAGUGUAAAAAACAUAUGCAUCUUAGAAAAUGCACAUCAACAACCAAAAAGGAUCUUGGAAAUUUCUCAAAUCUGAAUUUCAAAUGGAAUAAUCUUCCUUAAAGUUGCUAAUUCACAGUGGAUAAAAUAAAAUAUAGAAAAAAAA
Molecule: long non-coding RNA, 316 nt
Organism: Monodelphis domestica (gray short-tailed opossum)
Lineage: Eukaryota; Metazoa; Chordata; Mammalia; Didelphimorphia; Didelphidae
Source: RefSeq, a predicted model, not a curated record